This 473-nucleotide ribosomal RNA is filed under the name uncultured bacterium. Its description in RNAcentral is "bacterial SSU rRNA". It matches the Rfam family "Bacterial small subunit ribosomal RNA", at positions 329 to 793 of the family's 1533-position model. The record is from RNAcentral.
GACGACGCUCCUACGGGAGGCAGCAUGGGGGAAUAUUGCACAAUGGGGCGCAAGCCUGAUGCAGCCAUGCCGCGUGUGUGAAGAAGGCCUUCGGGUUGUAAAGCACUUUCAGUCGUGAGGAAGGUAGUGUAGUUAAUAGCUGCAUUAUUUGACGUUAGCGACAGAAGAAGCACCGGCUAACUCCGUGCCAGCAGCCGCGGUAAUACGGAGGGUGCGAGCGUUAAUCGGAAUUACUGGGCGUAAAGCGCAUGCAGGUGGUUUGUUAAGUCAGAUGUGAAAGCCCCGGGGCUCAACCUCGGAAUUGCAUUUGAAACUGGCAGACUAGAGUACUGUAGAGGGGGUAGAAUUUCAGGUGUAGCGGUGAAAUGCGUAGAGAUCUGAAGGAAUACCGGUGGCGAAGGCGGCCCCCUGGACAGAUACUGACACUCAGAUGCGAAAGCGUGGGGAGCAAACAGGAUUAGAUACCCUGGUAG